This is a non-coding RNA of Teladorsagia circumcincta, 73 nucleotides long. The record is from the annotation of a GenBank genome assembly. Lineage: Eukaryota; Metazoa; Nematoda; Chromadorea; Rhabditida; Trichostrongylidae.
GCGUAAGUGGUACAGUGGCUAGUGGCUCUGCUUAUGAGGCAUACGAUUCGAGGAUCGAGUCCUCUAUUGUGCG